RNAcentral lists this small nuclear RNA (164 nucleotides) under Gopherus evgoodei (Goodes thornscrub tortoise). Its description in RNAcentral is "U1 spliceosomal RNA (ENSGEVG00005002029.1)". It matches the Rfam family "U1 spliceosomal RNA". From Rfam's summary of the family: U1 is a small nuclear RNA (snRNA) component of the spliceosome (involved in pre-mRNA splicing). Its 5' end forms complementary base pairs with the 5' splice junction, thus defining the 5' donor site of an intron. The record is from Rfam by way of RNAcentral. Lineage: Eukaryota; Metazoa; Chordata; Testudines; Testudinidae.
CUACUUACCUGGCAGAGGAGAUACCAUGAUUACGAAGGUGGUUUUCCCAGGGUGAGACUCAUCCAUUGCACUGCGGGUGUGCUGACCCCUGUGAUUUUCCCAAAUGCAGGAAACUCGACUGCACAAUUUGUGGUAGUGGGGGACUGCGUUCGCGCUCUCCCCUG